ACAUGCGACCAUACCUGCUGGAAAACUCGGGAUCCCGUCCGCUCUCCCCUAGAUAAGCUAGUAAGGGCAGUAUCAUAUUUA
Molecule: ribosomal RNA, 81 nt
Filed under: Verticillium alfalfae VaMs.102
Lineage: Eukaryota; Fungi; Ascomycota; Sordariomycetes; Glomerellales; Plectosphaerellaceae
Source: RNAcentral